RNAcentral lists this long non-coding RNA (1737 nucleotides) under Gallus gallus (chicken). RNAcentral describes it as "lncRNA (ENSGALG00010003732.1)". The record is from RNAcentral. Lineage: Eukaryota; Metazoa; Chordata; Aves; Galliformes; Phasianidae.
GUGGUUAUAAAUUUAAAGACAUAACAUAGACAUAUUUGUUACAUUCCAAGAAAACCGGCUGGAAUCCUGAGAAAUUACUAACAUGUUGUACCACGCUCUUGGGGUGGUGGGGGUCUCUUGUGGUUGUUGGUAAACAGCCGAGAGCGGCUUGGCAGUCACCUCUGCCAGCUCCCUCAGGAGUCUGUGGAGGGGCUUUUCCUGUCCCCCGUGCUGUGCACCGUCUUCCUGCACUGCUGGCUCCUGACAUUUUUCACGUGGUGCUGCAUGAGGAUCGUCAUAAGUCUCUCCAUUAGGGUUAUGUAGGCGUCCAUCUGGCAGAGCAGGUCGAGAGCAUUUACGUUGUCCGUUUCCUCUGUUCCUAAGGAAGCUGGGUCCGCUUGUCCCGCUCCCUGGAAGUGAGAGAGCAUGGGCACAGUGAAAGGGAGGCAGGCUUGUUUUGCAGAGUAUCACCCUGCAGGGCUCCGACUGGUGUGGAGCAUUUCCAGCCUCGCAGGACUGCUCAGGGCAGCCCGUGGGGCUCACACUGCCUGUGGCACACCCUGUGUUGCUCAGGGGUCUCCCACUGUGUGACAGCCCUGUGGCUGGGCAAGUGCCUGGGGAGAGGUAACGGAUCUCUGGGGUCUGCUUUCCUUGGAUGUGUUCAAGUAUAUGGCCUUUAUGGUUCCCUGCUCCCCAGCCACGGUACCCUCCCUGCCCGAUGUAUCUUGAUUGCUCACCUGUCCCCGAGGUCUUCUUAAUCUUCUCCAGUGGGCACGGGCAGUUGUCAGCAGCCAGAGAAUGGAGAAAAUUGUCAAGGGAGCUGUAAGGAGCCAGGUUCUCCCUCUUUGCAUAAGGUAGUCCCAAAGGUGGCCCAGGAUGCCAGGCAAGCUGUAGGCCUUCUGCUUGGUGCCUGGGGACUGCUGCUUUGGGCCUUGUGGAACAGCAACUUUGCUGCCCUUGUACCAGACCCAUAUGGGACACUGGGAAGAGCCAAGCAAGCAGGACCAGUAUGAGGUUUGGCUCUUGGUUUUCUCUGUAUGCUGCUCCUCAGGAAGGACCUGGUUUGUGUUCGUGUCCUUGGUCCUGAUGGGGCAGGAUGUCAGGCCAAACUAGCAGCGCCAGGUGGAGGUCUGGCUCUUGGUCUCCUCUGUACGCUGCUCCUCAGGAAGGGCCUGGUUGUCCUUCCUGUCCUCGAUCCUGGUGGGGAAGGAGGUUAGGCCAAACCAGGAGUGCCGUCUGGAGGUCUGGCUUAUGGUCUGCUACAUGGCCUGCUCCUCAGGAACUACCAGGUUGUUCGUUGUGUCCUCGAUCCUGACAGGGAAGGAGGUUAGGUCAAACCAGCAGCGCCAGGUGGAGGUCUGGCUGUUGGACUCCUCCAUAGGCUGCUCCUCAGAAAUGUCCUCAUUGUUGUUCUUCUCCUCGAUCCUGACAGGGCAGGAGGUUAGGCCUAACCAGCAGCGCCAGGUGGAGGUCUGGCUGUUGGUCUCCUCCAUAGACUGACCAAAGGAAGGGACUCGUUGUUGUUGUUCUCCUCAGUCCUGACAGGGCAGGACGUUAGGCCUAGCCAGCAGCGCCAGGUGGAGGUCUGGCUGUUGGUCUCCUCCACAGGCUGCACCUCAGGAAGGCCUGGUUGUCCUUCCUGUCCUCGAUCCUGACGGGGCAGGAGUUUAGGCCAAACUAGCAGAGGCUGGUGGAGGUCUGGCUGUUGGUCUCCUCCACAGGCUGCUCCUCAGAAAGGACCUGGUUGUCCUUCCUGUC